ACGGGGAAAGAUUUGACUGCUUGCAACCCCGGUAAACGAAAAAAAUGCUAAAAU
This 54-nucleotide non-coding RNA is filed under the name bovine gut metagenome. The record is from RNAcentral.